GGCAGGUUGGCAGAAAUUCUUAUAUGCGUUCGAUUUAGGCUCGAAAUAUGGGGGGGUAGGGUUCCUCGUCUGCCA
This 75-nucleotide transfer RNA is filed under the name Spondylus violaceus. RNAcentral's name for it is "tRNA-Leu". The record is from RNAcentral. Lineage: Eukaryota; Metazoa; Mollusca; Bivalvia; Pectinida; Spondylidae.